UACGAAGGGGGCUAGCGUUGUUCGGAUUUACUGGGCGUAAAGCGCACGUAGGCGGAUCGUUAAGUCAGGGGUGAAAUCCUGGAGCUCAACUCCAGAACUGCCUUUGAUACUGGAGAGCUUGAGUCCGGGAGAGGUGAGUGGAACUCCGAGUGUAGAGGUGAAAUUCGUAGAUAUUCGGAAGAACACCAGUGGCGAAGGCGGCUCACUGGCCCGGUACUGACGCUGAUGUGCGAAAGCGUGGGGAGCAAACAGG
RNAcentral lists this ribosomal RNA (253 nucleotides) under uncultured bacterium. Its description in RNAcentral is "partial 16S ribosomal RNA". It matches the Rfam family "Bacterial small subunit ribosomal RNA", at positions 524 to 776 of the family's 1533-position model. The record is from RNAcentral.